GACCACCAUGUUUUACGGUAGAACGCUAGCCUGUCACGCUAGAGGUCGACGGUUCGAGCCCGUUCCAGGUCGCCA
This 75-nucleotide transfer RNA is filed under the name Clostridium sp. 28_12. Its description in RNAcentral is "tRNA-Asp". The stretch from base 10 to 64 matches the Rfam family "tRNA", at positions 10 to 63 of the family's 71-position model. From Rfam's summary of the family: Transfer RNA (tRNA) molecules are approximately 80 nucleotides in length. Their secondary structure includes four short double-helical elements and three loops (D, anti-codon, and T loops). Lineage: Bacteria; Bacillati; Bacillota; Clostridia; Eubacteriales; Clostridiaceae. The record is from RNAcentral.